This 291-nucleotide long non-coding RNA is filed under the name Phasianus colchicus (ring-necked pheasant). Its description in RNAcentral is "lncRNA (ENSPCLG00000003784.1)". The record is from RNAcentral. Lineage: Eukaryota; Metazoa; Chordata; Aves; Galliformes; Phasianidae.
CUUAUGUUAAUCACUUCCAGGAAAUAGAGAAUUAUAUAAAUACUGUCAUAGUUCUGCAUCUGUGAGGACAGCAUUAGGCAAUACCACAACAGUAACCCAUUAUUUUCACAUGAGGUAGUGAUUUUGUACUGUGUGCUUUCAGAAACACGCUGAGUUAAUCACCAGUCAUGACUGCCAACAGCCAGCACACAUUUCCCUGAAAUGGGAAGGGGAAACUCUGCAGCUCUGUUUAACCAAAUGAACAGGCCACAGGAAAUCAGUGUGAGGAAAGCACGGAGUUUUGCUCAGCCU